This 161-nucleotide ribosomal RNA is filed under the name Pseudo-nitzschia delicatissima. Its description in RNAcentral is "5.8S ribosomal RNA". It matches the Rfam family "5.8S ribosomal RNA". Rfam says of the family: 5.8S ribosomal RNA (5.8S rRNA) is a component of the large subunit of the eukaryotic ribosome. It is transcribed by RNA polymerase I as part of the 45S precursor that also contains 18S and 28S rRNA. Lineage: Eukaryota; Bacillariophyta; Bacillariophyceae; Bacillariales; Bacillariaceae. The record is from RNAcentral.
UACAACUUUCAGCGGUGGAUGUCUAGGUUCCCACAACGAUGAAGAACGCGGCGAAAUGCGAUACGUAAUGCGAAUUGCAAGACCUCGUGAAUCAUUAAGAUUUUGAACGCACAUUGCGCUUUCGGGAUUUUCCCGGUAGCAUGCUUGUCUGAGUGUCUGUG